Molecule: ribosomal RNA, 861 nt
Filed under: uncultured bacterium
Lineage: Bacteria
Description: SSU rRNA
Rfam family: Bacterial small subunit ribosomal RNA
Source: RNAcentral
UACGGGGGGUGCAAGCGUUACUCGGAAUCACUGGGCGUAAAGAGCAUGUAGGCGGAUUAAUAAGUUUGAAGUGAAAUCCUAUAGCUUAACUAUAGAACUGCUUUGAAAACUGUUAAUCUAGAAUGUGGGAGAGGUAGAUGGAAUUUCUGGUGUAGGGGUAAAAUCCGUAGAGAUCAGAGGGAAUACCGAUUGCGAAGGCGAUCUACUGGAACAUUAUUGACGCUGAGAUGCGAAAGCGUGGGGAGCAAACAGGAUUAGAUACCCUGGUAGUCCACGCCCUAAACGAUGUACACUAGUUGUUGUGAGACUUGAUCUUGCAGUAAUGCAGUUAACACAUUAAGUGUACCGCCUGGGGAGUACGGUCGCAAGAUUAAAACUCAAAGGAAUAGACGGGGACCCGCACAAGCGGUGGAGCAUGUGGUUUAAUUCGACGAUACGCGAGGAACCUUACCUGGACUUGACAUAGUAAGAACUUUCUAGAGAUAGAUUGGUGUCUGCUUGCAGAAACUUAUAUACAGGUGCUGCACGGCUGUCGUCAGCUCGUGUCGUGAGAUGUUGGGUUAAGUCCCGCAACGAGCGCAACCCUCGUGUUUAGUUGCUAACAGUUCGGCUGAGAACUCUAAACAGACUGCCUACGCAAGUAGGAGGAAGGUGAGGACGACGUCAAGUCAUCAUGGCCCUUACGUCCAGGGCUACACACGUGCUACAAUGGGAUAUACAAAGAGCGGCAAUACGGUGACGUGGAGCAAAUCUUAUAAAAUAUCUCCCAGUUCGGAUUGUAGUCUGCAACUCGACUACAUGAAGUUGGAAUCGCUAGUAAUCGUAGAUCAGCUAUGCUACGGUGAAUACGUUCCCGGGUCU